CACAAAAAAAGACUCCGCAGAACCU
Molecule: non-coding RNA, 25 nt
Filed under: Cricetulus griseus (Chinese hamster)
Lineage: Eukaryota; Metazoa; Chordata; Mammalia; Rodentia; Cricetidae
Source: RNAcentral